GAUGAACGCUGGCGGCGUGCCUAAUACAUGCAAGUCGAGCGAACAGACGAGGAGCUUGCUCCUCUGACGUUAGCGGCGGACGGGUGAGUAACACGUGGAUAACCUACCUAUAAGACUGGGAUAACUUCGGGAAACCGGAGCUAAUACCGGAUAAUAUAUUGAACCGCAUGGUUCAAUAGUGAAAGACGGUUUUGCUGUCACUUAUAGAUUGAUCCGCGCCGCAUUAGCUAGUUGGUAAGGUAACGGCUUACCAAGGCGACGAUGCGUAGCCGACCUGAGAGGGUGAUCGGCAACACUGGAACUGAGAAACGGUCCAGACUCCUACGGGAGGCAGCAGUAGGGAAUCUUCCGCAAUGGGCGAAAGCCUGACGGAGCAACGCCGCGUGAGUGAUGAAGGUCUUCGGAUCGUAAAACUCUGUUAUUAGGGAAGAACAAAUGUGUAAGUAACUAUGCACGUCUUGACGGUACCUAAUCAGAAAGCCACGGCUAACUACGUG
RNAcentral lists this ribosomal RNA (497 nucleotides) under uncultured bacterium. RNAcentral describes it as "partial 16S ribosomal RNA". It matches the Rfam family "Bacterial small subunit ribosomal RNA", at positions 28 to 507 of the family's 1533-position model. The record is from RNAcentral.